RNAcentral lists this ribosomal RNA (499 nucleotides) under uncultured bacterium. RNAcentral's name for it is "partial 16S ribosomal RNA". It matches the Rfam family "Bacterial small subunit ribosomal RNA", at positions 28 to 507 of the family's 1533-position model. The record is from RNAcentral.
GACGAACGCUGGCGGCGUGCCUAAUACAUGCAAGUCGAGCGAAGUUUUUCUGGUUCUUGCACUAGAAAAACUUAGCGGCGAACGGGUGAGUAACACGUAAAGAACCUGCCUCAUAGACUGGGACAACUAUUGGAAACGAUAGCUAAUACCGGAUAACAGCAUUAACUGCAUGGUUGAUGUUUAAAAGUUGGUUUUGCUAACACUAUGAGAUGGCUUUGCGGUUCAUUAGCUAGUUGGUGGGGUAAAGGCCUACCAAGGCGACGAUGCAUAGCCGACCUGAGAGGGUGAUCGGCCACACUGGGACUGAGACACGGACAAGACUCCUACGGGAGGCAGCAGUAGGGAAUCUUCCGCAAUGGGCGAAAGCAUGACGGAGCAACGCAGCGUGAGUGAAGAAGGAUUUCGGUUCGUAAAGCUCUGUUGUUAGGGAAGAAUGAUUGUGUAGUAACUAUACGCAGUAGAGACGGUACCUAAACAGAAAGCCACGGCUAACUACGUG